Molecule: ribosomal RNA, 461 nt
Filed under: uncultured bacterium
Lineage: Bacteria
Description: partial 16S ribosomal RNA
Rfam family: Bacterial small subunit ribosomal RNA
Source: RNAcentral
GACGAACGCUGGCGGCGUGCUUAACACAUGCAAGUCGAACGGAAAGGCCCUUCGGGGUACUCGAGUGGCGAACGGGUGAGUAACACGUGGGUGAUCUGCCCUGCACUUUGGGAUAAGCCUGGGAAACUGGGUCUAAUACCGAAUAGGACCACGCGCUUCAUGGUGUGUGGUGGAAAGCUUUUGCGGUGUGGGAUGGGCCCGCGGCCUAUCAGCUUGUUGGUGGGGUAAUGGCCUACCAAGGCGACGACGGGUAGCCGGCCUGAGAGGGUGACCGGCCACACUGGGACUGAGAUACGGCCCAGACUCCUACGGGAGGCAGCAGUGGGGAAUAUUGCACAAUGGGCGCAAGCCUGAUGCAGCGACGCCGCGUGAGGGAUGACGGCCUUCGGGUUGUAAACCUCUUUUAAUAGGGACGAAGCGCAAGUGACGGUACCUAUAGAAGAAGCACCGGCCAACUACGU